AUCCUGAGUAACGUAGCUAACGCGUGAAGUCAGCCGCCUGGGGAGUACGGUCGCAAGAUUAAAACUCAAAGGAAUUGACGGGGACCCGCACAAGCGGUGGAUGAUGUGGAUUAAUUCGAUGCAACGCGAAAAACCUUACCUACCCUUGACAUGUCACUAACGAAGUAGAGAUACAUUAGGUGCUCGUAAGAGAAAGUGAACACAGGUGCUGCAUGGCUGUCGUCAGCUCGUGUCGUGAGAUGUUGGGUUAAGUCCCGCAACGAGCGCAACCCUUGUCUUUAGUUGCUACGCAAGAGCACUCUAAAGAGACUGCCGGUGACAAACCGGAGGAAGGUGGGGAUGACGUCAAGUCCUCAUGGCCCUUAUGGGUAGGGCUUCACACGUCAUACAAUGGUGCAUACAGAGGGUUGCCAACCCGCGAGGGGGAGCUAAUCUCAGAAAAUGCAUCGUAGUCCGGAUCGUAGUCUGCAACUCGACUACGUGAAGCUGGAAUCGCUAGUAAUCGCGGAUCAGAAUGUCGCGGUGAAUACGUUCCCGGGUCUUGUACACACCGCCCGUCAUACCAUGGGAGUGGGUUUUGCCAGAAGCCGUUAGCCUAAC
This 600-nucleotide ribosomal RNA is filed under the name uncultured beta proteobacterium. RNAcentral's name for it is "bacterial SSU rRNA". It matches the Rfam family "Bacterial small subunit ribosomal RNA", at positions 836 to 1439 of the family's 1533-position model. Lineage: Bacteria; Pseudomonadati; Pseudomonadota; Betaproteobacteria. The record is from RNAcentral.